This 466-nucleotide RNase P RNA is filed under the name Sulfuritalea sp. Its description in RNAcentral is "RNase P RNA component class A". It matches the Rfam family "Bacterial RNase P class A". Rfam says of the family: Ribonuclease P (RNase P) is a ubiquitous endoribonuclease, found in archaea, bacteria and eukarya as well as chloroplasts and mitochondria. Its best characterised activity is the generation of mature 5'-ends of tRNAs by cleaving the 5'-leader elements of precursor-tRNAs. The record is from RNAcentral. Lineage: Bacteria; Pseudomonadati; Pseudomonadota; Betaproteobacteria; Nitrosomonadales; Sterolibacteriaceae.
GAAGUUCGCCAGGCAACCGCUGAUCACGAAAGUGGUUGGAGGAAAGUCCGGGCUCCACAGGGCAGGAUGCCGGCUAACGGCCGGGCGCUAUAAGUCGGAAGACGCAAGUCGGACGACGAAGGCGACGGAAAGUGCAACAGAAAGAUACCGCCGAUGGCUCGACCUGACUUCGCCGCCGCAAGGCGGCAAAGUCUCCCUUGAAUGGGGAGGGGCGGGAUCAGGUAAGGGUGAAAUGGUGGCACGGCGUCAGCCGUGUCGGUGCGGCGCAAGCCGUGCCGAGGUAAGAGCUCACCGCGGACGUGGUAACACGGACGGCACGGCAAACCCCAUCCGGAGCAAGGCCAAAUAGGGGAGCAUAGGCGCGGCCCGCGUCGCUCCCGGGUAGGCUGCUAGAGGCCGUCGGUAACGGCGGUCCCAGAGGAAUGGUUGCCCACGACAGAACCCGGCUUAUCGGCGGACUUCCCAC